This 206-nucleotide ribosomal RNA is filed under the name uncultured bacterium. RNAcentral's name for it is "partial 16S ribosomal RNA". It matches the Rfam family "Bacterial small subunit ribosomal RNA", at positions 328 to 552 of the family's 1533-position model. The record is from RNAcentral.
CAGCAGUACUCAUACGGGAGGCAGCAGUGGGGAAUAUUGCACAAUGGGCGCAAGCCUGAUGCAGCGACGCCGCGUGAGGGAUGACGGCCUUCGGGUUGUAAACCUCUUUCAGCAGGGAAGAAGCGCGAGUGACGGUACCUGCAGAAGAAGCACCGGCUAACUACGUGCCAGCAGCCGCGGUAAUCGUGCCAGCAGCCGCGGUAAUA